Lagenorhynchus albirostris (white-beaked dolphin) is the source of this 3061-nucleotide RNA transcript. It is a transcript of the gene named microsomal glutathione S-transferase 2, with no coding region annotated. The transcript is spliced from 5 exons. Lineage: Eukaryota; Metazoa; Chordata; Mammalia; Artiodactyla; Delphinidae. The record is from RefSeq and is a predicted model, not a curated record.
UAAAAAAAAGGAUCACUGGCUUCCAGUUGAGUCUGGGGGUUUUGGCCUUGUUGACUGUCCUAAGCACCGUGGGGAUUGCAAACAGCUUUCUGGAUGAAUACCUGGACUUCAAUGUUGCCGAGAAACUGAGAAACAAAUCGUUUCUCACCCGUCUUGAUAAUGAUGCCAUCCUCAACCAAUAAGAUACCAUCUUUUUGGAGGCCAGCCAGCACGGGCAACCAAAGAAAAGAAGGGCCUCUGUUCACCCCAUCCUGCGGUGUUUUGCACGAAACCGUUGCAAUGAAUUAAUUGUAUAGACACAGCGUAGACAAGAAACCAUGCUAAUCUUUUAGGCAGCAAUCUAAGAACAUUCCUGAGAGUAAGAAUUUACGAAGCACGUGAGCCAGCCCCCUUCCACCCUCGCCCCCCAUGCUGAUUCUACAGACCCCUGUACCAGAAGCCACGAGAAAAGAGCCAGACUUGAACUGAAGAACGGUCUCUGGCAAUUGGGUCUUCAAAUGGAUGGCGGAAGCCUGUCUUUUCGGAACAAACUAAUUCAUUCGAAGAAAAAGCCUAACUAACGGAAAGGUCUACAUUCUGCAGGUUCUUCUGUGAUCUCAGGAAAUGCUGGCCUGUGAAUUUCUUGAUGAAGGACAUGAACUGAGACUCCCUCACAGACACCAGGCACUGAAUAAGCGUUUGCCGAACGAAUGGAUCACACCACGGGCGUGAGUUACCUGCUCCGCCAGAAUCUGCUGCUGCUGCUGCCUCUGCUCCCGCAGGAACUGUUGCUUCUGCUGCCCCAUCAGCUGGGCCCGCUGAUCAAUGAGCAUCUGCUUCAUGAGGGCUGCCUGGGGCUGGCUGCCCAGGAAGCUGGGCCCUGCUGGACCAGCUCCGGAGACCAUGCCGCCAGAGCCCGGGGGUACGGAGGACUGCAUGGGGCCCGUGGUCCGGGGAAGCCCGACCGGAUGCUGCUCCUGGAAGGACAGGAAGAGAAGAGAAUGCAGCCACUCCACCUCUGAAGGAAAGCACAGGGGUUAGGGGGAUGGGGUAGGGCCCGGCUUAGGGACCUACGGGAUCCCGAGAGGCACACAUUACAUUUCCAUAAAAAGAACCCAGUGGUCCUCAAACCUGGCCUUACCACAGGUGGGAUUGGAGAGGCUACAGGGCAACAGUAAUAGAGCACGGCUCUGGGAAAAUCUGAGACCCGGUCCAGUCUGUUUCUGAUGGGACUGGCUAAGGAACAAGAACCGCAUUUUCAGCUAGCAAUCUGUAAGUCUGGAAUGAGGCAUCCUCACCUUACCUCUUCAUCCUUACUGCCUGCCUGGCUAAACUGCGCUUCUUAGCUAGUAGGAGAGACGUUCACAGAAGACUGCUGGAAGUGAUUCAUCAGCAGAUUGCUAUUUGAUGAAAUUCUAAUUAAUUGUGACAUUUGAAAGCUUUAACAUGUGUAAAAAAAAAUCCUGCUAGUGAGAAUUGUUGAUGGUGAGAAGUAGGAGUGUGUUACCCUGACCAAAGAUACGAAAUCUCCCAACAUCUUUAAAGACAGAAUUGGGUCUCAGGUGUCUGGGAUAACUUAAACGCGGGGGGUUGAAUUGGGUCUCUUGAUUCUAUAAUUAUGUGUCCGUCAGUCAAAUCAAAUGAUGGCAACUUUUAAGGACUGGUCCUUAAGGAACAGGAGGUAAAGUGUUAGAGAACUCCUCACACACAGCCCAAGCCACUACUCGGAGACUGUACUCAGAGGGGAAGUAACAGCCCGACGGUGUAGACCAUUGGGGAAAAGCAGCUGAUGGGAAAAGUAGGUUUGUGACCGUAAGAUGUACUUUCUCGAUGCUUUCUUUCCUGUUCGCUCUAUCAAGCAUAGCUGGUAAUGGCAAAGUAUUGUCUGAACAUUUCACAGAAAGGUUUCUUUUAAUUCACUGAAGUUUCAAGUAAUUAGUCUGAACAAAGAGAAGCUGCUGAGAGGUACACAAGUUAAAUGGGUAUACGUGUAAGGACAUACACAGUCAUAUCAUGAGGCACAAUUAUGAGACUUAGAUCAUGAGAAACGAAUGUGAAUAACUCUACAGUAUUUACAUUUUUGUAUCCAGUUAAACUGGAUUAAAAAAAUUUCCUCAUUGUAAAAUCUAGAUAUUCAUUCUUUUUUUCCACACUGGUUAUUAUUUCCAGUUAUAUGGGGUGAAGGGAAUUAAGACUACACUGAUGUCUACAGGCAAGUGACUACCUUAAAUGGAUGUGUAUAGUUAUCACAUUUUAUUUGCAAUGGUAUUUCCAUCAUUAUUAAUGCAUUCCUUCAUUAAUGCAUGCCACUAGCCUGCUCUGUGAACAACAUGAAUUUUAUCCACCUCUUCUGAGCCAUCCUAUAUGAAAAACAGGGUGCAGUCAAACUGGAUUUUAAUAUUUGUCCUCUUUUUGCUUUGCUACCUCUUCAGUGUUGGUACAGUCAGUCACGUGGGCAGUUUCCUUUCAAAACAGAGAGUCGUGUUUGACACAACUCCUAGAGACGCAGCCCUGCAUUGCAGCCCCCAUAGCCUGGGCUUGUUGGACCCCCCUUCCCGCUACUGUGUGGAGCUCAGCCAUUCACGUCCUUCUUUCCAGGUACACCGAAACCCACAUCUUCGGUGUACUCUUCGUCCCUCCCAUCAGCACCCAAAGAAAACAAAACAAGCAAAACAAACAAAAAAACCAAACAAAACCCCUUUACUCCUCUCAUCUGGGAAACAACAGCUCAAGAAGUUUUGGUUAAUCAGUGCGGUGGCCCAGGUCACACAGUUAGCAAAUGGAAGAACCAGAACUUGCAGAACUGGAACACUGACUUUGAGUCUAAAUUCAGUAUUCCUUCCACAAGCAUAGGCCUUUCCCAGACGACGGGUCCACGGUGCCAAGCAUGUGCCUAAGAAUUGCCUGUAGACUAAAUAUAUAGUAUGUCUCCCAUAAAUAUACUGUGUUCUAUUUUUCAAAUGGUAAGUGUGGUGUUACUGAAAUUAAAACUUCUUGUCUUUGUGUAUUUUCUCUGUACAUAGACAAUUAUUAGGUAGAGAGCUAUGAGAUAUUAAUAAUAAAAAGACCUUAUACUCAGCAA